This 1782-nucleotide long non-coding RNA is filed under the name Piliocolobus tephrosceles (Ugandan red Colobus). Its description in RNAcentral is "lncRNA (ENSPTEG00000003715.1)". Lineage: Eukaryota; Metazoa; Chordata; Mammalia; Primates; Cercopithecidae. The record is from RNAcentral.
AACAUGAAUGGCUUAAUAAAUGGUAGUAUAAUCGAACAAAAAAAAAAACUAAUGCGUAGUGGUAGCACAAUAAAACCAUUGUCAUCAGUGCAAAUGGAAUCGCUUAAUAAAGAGUUAAAUACAUAUUUGUAUAAACAAAAAAAAAGUGAACAAGCAAGAAUAUUCAAUGAAAAAUAUGGAGACAUUUUUUGUGACUUCAAAAUAUAUUCGAAAAACUCAAAAGAAAUAAACAAAAGGAUGAAAACGAAAAAAAGUUUAUCAGUUUCUGCGAAAAGUACAAAAUUUAAUUAUAUGAAUAAUUAUGCGAAUAAUUAUGCGAAUAAUUAUGCGAAUAAUAAGGAAUCAUCACAAUUAAUGGGACUACGAAGCAUGUCAAGAUAUACAAAACAACCUCAAUUUAAUUUUAAAAGAAAAGGAACUACAUUAUUAGCUGAUAUAAAAGAAUUAAAUAGUAUUAGUGAUUCUAAUAGUUAUAAUGAUGAAGUAGAAGAAAAUUGUUUAGAAAAAUUAAUAAAAAUGAGAUAUACACCUGAACAUAUUUCACAAUUAAGUGACCUAUUCGAAAGUCCUAAAACAAUCAAAACAAUUAAUCUUAAAAUAUUAAAAUGGCUAGAUCAACAGUUAUAUAAUGGUUAUUGGUUUGAGCGCUUUUCUUUAUUUUUACUAGGAUUAACUAUAGCUAUUGGUGUUGGUGGUAUAGAAACUUUUUGGAUGCUAAUGUCAACCUGGCAUGGCGUUAUAUUUGUAUUACCAUAUAUUUUGUGCUAUACUCUUGUAUGUCAUCCUAUUUUGUUAUUUGAAUUAUAUAUAGGACAAUUAGUUAGAGCAUCAUCCCCUUUUAUUUUUUAUAAAAUUUUAAAACGUUGUGCUUCGGUUGGUUUUUUAAUUAUAAUAAUAUGUCUAAUUAAUAGUUAUAUACACUCAUAUAGAAUUGCAGCUGAAUAUUUUACUUAUCUUAUUAAUUCGUUUAAAAAAGAAUUGCCAUGGAAACUAAACUUAAAUGAAAUAAAUUUUUGUAAUAAUAUAAAACAUGAUAUAAUCACUUGCUUAAAAUAUAAACCAUUAUGUUUAUAUUCAAAAUUUACAUCUACAUGUGUACCUAAUAAUAUAGGUAAAGCUUUUUUAAUAUAUCAACAUAAAUUUUAUCCUAAAAAUGAAAAAUAUAAUUUUUUAUUAAGCAUACAAAAAAAUAAUAGCUUUGCUCAUAUCUUUUCAAAUAAUAAUUCAUAUUUUGAUAAAGACAUUUUUAUUUUUUUAUGUGUAUGUAAUUUGUUUAAUACCAUUUUUCAAUUCUUCGGACUUACAAACUUUGCCUUCGCAUCUGCGUUAGUUUUGUUGUUAAUUUCGGUUUUGUCUAUAAUUCAGUUUGUCACCAUGUUUAACUUGAGUAGUGUUUACGAGGCUUACUACCACGUUCUCAGUGAGUUUUCCAAAAAAAAAAAAAAAAAAAAAAAAAGACUGGACAGUACUAGACAGUACUGGACAGCAUUGGACAGCACUGAACAGCACUGGACAGUACUGGACAGCAUUGGACAGCAUUGGACAGCAUUGGACAGCACUGGACAGCACUGAACACCGAUGGACAAAUAGUCUUUAUGUAUGUAUACGUGUGUACAUGUGUCUGUGUGUAUAUAUAUUCUUUUAAUUUUGUAGGCUCCUGGGAAUUCUCCUACCUAUACAAAUAUUCAUCUAUCUGGUCCCAGUGCGUGUCCUUAGCCCUAUACGAGCUUUCCAUUGGAAUGGGGAUCUACUCAUCGCUUGCUGCAAAGACGAGGUAAUUAA